AAACUUUGAUUUAGAUCGCUGCGUCACUCAGAAACUUGUCAGUUGUGGCAUAUUUGGAACCAAUGACGAGUCACUUCUCCUUCUCUUCCUCCUGUAUUAUUCAGACUGGUCUCUGUGUCGUCUACGUUUGUAUCCAGGGUAACGUGUUAGAAUAUUAAGGUAGAAAUGUAGAACCUACAAGCCUCUGUGACAUGUAGAAUGAGGAAUCAUGUCAUUUCUAUCUGAAACGUUCCGGAAGGAAGCUGGUCGAGGCCGUGUUCUUCCUCUGUGACAUGUAGAAUGAGGAAUCAUGUCAUUUCUAUCUGAAACGUUCCGGAAGGAAUCUGGUCGAGGCCGUGUUCUUCCUCUGUGACUGACUUCCUGUUUUCUCCUCUCAGGUACACCAUAUUCAAGGACCACGUGUCUCUGGGAGACUAUGAGAUCCAUGAUGGGCAGAACCUGGAGCUGUACUACCAGUAGAAGACUGAGGACACCACACACACACACACACCUAUGUAUUAACAAGGCUUGAGUUUGUUGAUCAUUGGAUCAGGGUUUUUUGCGGAAGACAUUGAUGAUGUUCUAGUGAUGAAAUGUUUUGAUAUUGUUUGGAAAUAAAAACAAAUAUUUAUAUUAGUUUAA
Oncorhynchus keta (chum salmon) is the source of this 621-nucleotide long non-coding RNA. RefSeq lists it as uncharacterized. The transcript is spliced from 2 exons. The record is from RefSeq and is a predicted model, not a curated record. NCBI's taxonomy places the organism in Eukaryota, Metazoa, Chordata, Actinopteri, Salmoniformes, Salmonidae.